GGCGAGAUGGCCGAGCGGUCUAAGGCGCCAGAUUAAGGUCCAUGUGGGAUUUGAACCCACGGAAUUUCUGGUCCGAAAGGGCGUGGGUUCGAAUCCCACUCUCGUCA
Tulasnella sp. 419 is the source of this 107-nucleotide non-coding RNA. Lineage: Eukaryota; Fungi; Basidiomycota; Agaricomycetes; Cantharellales; Tulasnellaceae. The record is from the annotation of a GenBank genome assembly.